Molecule: ribosomal RNA, 481 nt
Filed under: Stenotrophomonas sp. PCSM55
Lineage: Bacteria; Pseudomonadati; Pseudomonadota; Gammaproteobacteria; Lysobacterales; Lysobacteraceae
Description: partial 16S ribosomal RNA
Rfam family: Bacterial small subunit ribosomal RNA
Source: RNAcentral
CUUUUUCGUGGGGGAUAACGUAGGGAAACUUACGCUAAUACCGCAUACGACCUACGGGUGAAAGCAGGGGAUCUUCGGACCUUGCGCGAUUGAAUGAGCCGAUGUCGGAUUAGCNNNNNNGCGGGGUAAAGGCCCACCAAGGCGACGAUCCGUAGCUGGUCUGAGAGGAUGAUCAGCCACACUGGAACUGAGACACGGUCCAGACUCCUACGGGAGGCAGCAGNNNGGAAUAUUGGACAAUGGGCGCAAGCCUGAUCCAGCNNNACCGCGUGGGUGAAGAAGGCCUUCGGGUUGUAAAGCCCUUUUGUUGGGAAAGAAAUCCAGCUGGUUAACACCCGGUUUUUAUGACGGUACCCAAAGAAUAAGCACCGGCUAACUUCGUGCCAGCAGCCGCGGUAAUACGAAGGGUGCAAGCGUUACUCGGAAUNACUGGGCGNNNNNNNNNNGUAGGUGGUUGUUUAAGUCUGUUGUGAAAGCCCUG